UACGUAGGGGCCUAGCGUUGUCCGGAUUUAUUGGGCGUAAAGAGCUCGUAGGCGGUUUGGUGAGUCGGGUGUGAAAUCUCCACGCUCAACGUGGAGGGGCCACCCGAUACUGCCAUGACUAGAGUCCGGUAGGGGAGUGUGGAAUUCCCGGUGUAGCGGUGAAAUGCGCAGAUAUCAGGAGGAACACCGGUGGCGAAGGCGGGUCUCUGGGCAGUAACUGACGCUGAGGAGCGAAAGCGUGGGGAGCGAACAGG
RNAcentral lists this ribosomal RNA (254 nucleotides) under uncultured bacterium. Its description in RNAcentral is "partial 16S ribosomal RNA". It matches the Rfam family "Bacterial small subunit ribosomal RNA", at positions 524 to 776 of the family's 1533-position model. The record is from RNAcentral.